RNAcentral lists this ribosomal RNA (415 nucleotides) under uncultured bacterium. RNAcentral describes it as "bacterial SSU rRNA". It matches the Rfam family "Bacterial small subunit ribosomal RNA", at positions 355 to 787 of the family's 1533-position model. The record is from RNAcentral.
UGGGGAAUAUUGCACAAUGGGGGGAACCCUGAUGCAGCGACGCCGCGUGGGUGAAGGAGUAUUUCGGUAUGUAAAGCCCUAUCAGCAGGGAAGAUAAUGACGGUACCUGACUAAGAAGCCCCGGCUAACUACGUGCCAGCAGCCGCGGUAAUACGUAGGGGGCAAGCGUUAUCCGGAUUUACUGGGUGUAAAGGGAGCGUAGACGGCAGCGCAAGCCUGGAGUGAAAGGAUGGGGCCUAACCCUGUGACUGCUCUGGGAACUGUGCGGCUGGAGUGCCGGAGGGGUAAGCGGAAUUCCUAGUGUAGCGGUGAAAUGCGUAGAUAUUAGGAGGAACACCAGUGGCGAAGGCGGCUUACUGGACGGCAACUGACGUUGAGGCUCGAAAGCGUGGGGAGCAAACAGGAUUAGAUACCC